RNAcentral lists this long non-coding RNA (425 nucleotides) under Sinocyclocheilus anshuiensis. RNAcentral describes it as "lncRNA (ENSSANG00000037121.1)". The record is from RNAcentral. Lineage: Eukaryota; Metazoa; Chordata; Actinopteri; Cypriniformes; Cyprinidae.
AUCUAAUAUAGGCCUAGAUAUAAAAAUACAGUAACUAAUAACUAUUUAGCACCCUUAAGUUGAGUGUUUUAGUACUUGAUGCUGAAGCGGGAAAGUGAGGGAAAGUAAACGCGUCAUCUGUCCGAUGCUUCAUUUAUAACUUGAAUCCAUCAGAACAGCACAUGGUUGGCUAGCGAUGGAAGAAAGUAAGACUUGUCAUGUAACUCCGCCCACAACUCCAAACAAAGCCACGCCCUCCCCGCCAGUGUCCACUGAACGGCUGAUGGGUUUGAGCAACCCAGAGUUACUAAAUGAACUGAAACAACCACCCACGCUCAAACACGUCCCCGCGCACACGGGACUGAAAACCGUGUUCAGGGGACGAGGACGACAGGUGAGACACAGACUGAACACACACACUGUAGCAAAUCAAACCAUUAAGUAUA